GACGAACGCUGGCGGCGUGCUUAACACAUGCAAGUCGAACGGAAAGGCCCUGCUUUUGUGGGGUGCUCGAGUGGCGAACGGGUGAGUAACACGUGAGUAACCUGCCCUUGACUUUGGGAUAACUUCAGGAAACUGGGGCUAAUACCGGAUAGGAGCUCCUGCUGCAUGGUGGGGGUUGGAAAGUUUCGGCGGUUGGGGAUGGACUCGCGGCUUAUCAGCUUGUUGGUGGGGUAGUGGCUUACCAAGGCUUUGACGGGUAGCCGGCCUGAGAGGGUGACCGGCCACAUUGGGACUGAGAUAGGGACCAGAAGCCUACGGGAGGCAGCAGGGGGGAAUAUGGCACAAGGGGCGGAAGCCUGAGGCAGCAACGCCGCGUGCGGGAUGACGGCCUUCGGGUUGUAAACCGCUUGCGCCGGUGACGAAGCGUGAGUGACGGUAAGGGAUAAAGAAGCACCGGCUAACUACGUG
Molecule: ribosomal RNA, 468 nt
Filed under: uncultured bacterium
Lineage: Bacteria
Description: partial 16S ribosomal RNA
Rfam family: Bacterial small subunit ribosomal RNA
Source: RNAcentral